GGUUAAGCGACUAAGCGUACACGGUGGAUGCCCUGGCAGUCAGAGGCGAUGAAGGACGUGCUAAUCUGCGAUAAGCGUCGGUAAGGUGAUAUGAACCGUUAUAACCGGCGAUUUCCGAAUGGGGAAACCCAGUGUGUUUCGACACACUAUCAUUAACUGAAUCCAUAGGUUAAUGAGGCGAACCGGGGGAACUGAAACAUCUAAGUACCCCGAGGAAAAGAAAUCAACCGAGAUUCCCCCAGUAGCGGCGAGCGAACGGGGAGCAGCCCAGAGCCUGAAUCAGUGUGUGUGUUAGUGGAAGCGUCUGGAAAGGCGCGCGAUACAGGGUGACAGCCCCGUACACAAAAAUGCACAUGCUGUGAGCUCGAUGAGUAGGGCGGGACACGUGGUAUCCUGUCUGAAUAUGGGGGGACCAUCCUCCAAGGCUAAAUACUCCUGACUGACCGAUAGUGAACCAGUACCGUGAGGGAAAGGCGAAAAGAACCCCGGCGAGGGGAGUGAAAAAGAACCUGAAACCGUGUACGUACAAGCAGUGGGAGCCUCUUUAUGGGGUGACUGCGUACCUUUUGUAUAAUGGGUCAGCGACUUAUAUUCUGUAGCAAGGUUAACCGAAUAGGGGAGCCGAAGGGAAACCGAGUCUUAACUGGGCGUUAAGUUGCAGGGUAUAGACCCGAAACCCGGUGAUCUAGCCAUGGGCAGGUUGAAGGUUGGGUAACACUAACUGGAGGACCGAACCGACUAAUGUUGAAAAAUUAGCGGAUGACUUGUGGCUGGGGGUGAAAGGCCAAUCAAACCGGGAGAUAGCUGGUUCUCCCCGAAAGCUAUUUAGGUAGCGCCUCGUGAAUUCAUCUCCGGGGGUAGAGCACUGUUUCGGCAAGGGGGUCAUCCCGACUUACCAACCCGAUGCAAACUGCGAAUACCGGAGAAUGUUAUCACGGGAGACACACGGCGGGUGCUAACGUCCGUCGUGAAGAGGGAAACAACCCAGACCGCCAGCUAAGGUCCCAAAGUCAUGGUUAAGUGGGAAACGAUGUGGGAAGGCCCAGACAGCCAGGAUGUUGGCUUAGAAGCAGCCAUCAUUUAAAGAAAGCGUAAUAGCUCACUGGUCGAGUCGGCCUGCGCGGAAGAUGUAACGGGGCUAAACCAUGCACCGAAGCUGCGGCAGCGACACUAUGUGUUGUUGGGUAGGGGAGCGUUCUGUAAGCCUGUGAAGGUGUACUGUGAGGUAUGCUGGAGGUAUCAGAAGUGCGAAUGCUGACAUAAGUAACGAUAAAGCGGGUGAAAAGCCCGCUCGCCGGAAGACCAAGGGUUCCUGUCCAACGUUAAUCGGGGCAGGGUGAGUCGACCCCUAAGGCGAGGCCGAAAGGCGUAGUCGAUGGGAAACAGGUUAAUAUUCCUGUACUUGGUGUUACUGCGAAGGG
This 1421-nucleotide ribosomal RNA is filed under the name Escherichia coli. RNAcentral describes it as "partial 23S ribosomal RNA". It matches the Rfam family "Bacterial large subunit ribosomal RNA", at positions 1 to 1468 of the family's 2925-position model. The record is from RNAcentral. Lineage: Bacteria; Pseudomonadati; Pseudomonadota; Gammaproteobacteria; Enterobacterales; Enterobacteriaceae.